This 796-nucleotide ribosomal RNA is filed under the name uncultured Methanosarcinaceae archaeon. RNAcentral's name for it is "bacterial SSU rRNA". It matches the Rfam family "Archaeal small subunit ribosomal RNA", at positions 85 to 879 of the family's 1478-position model. The record is from RNAcentral. Lineage: Archaea; Methanobacteriati; Methanobacteriota; Methanomicrobia; Methanosarcinales; Methanosarcinaceae.
ACUGCUCAGUAACACGUGGAUAACCUGCCCUUGGGUCCGGCAUAACCCCGGGAAACUGGGGAUAAUUCCGGAUAACGCAUAUAUGCUGGAAUGCUUUAUGCGUAAAAUGGAUUCGUCUGCCCAAGGAUGGGUCUGCGGCCUAUCAGGUAGUAGUGGGUGUAAUGUACCUACUAGCCGACAACGGGUACGGGUUGUGAGAGCAAGAGCCCGGAGAUGGAUUCUGAGACAUGAAUCCAGGCCCUACGGGGCGCAGCAGGCGCGAAAACUUUACAAUGCGGGAAACCGUGAUAAGGGGACACCGAGUGCCAGCAUCAUAUGCUGGCUGUCCAGGUGUGUAAACUACACCUGUUAGCAAGGGCCGGGCAAGACCGGUGCCAGCCGCCGCGGUAACACCGGCGGCCCGAGUGGUGAUCGUGAUUAUUGGGUCUAAAGGGUCCGUAGCCGGUUUGGUCAGUCCUCCGGGAAAUCUGACGGCUCAACCGUUAGGCUUUCGGGGGAUACUGCCAGGCUUGGAACCGGGAGAGGUAAGAGGUACUACAGGGGUAGGAGUGAAAUCUUGUAAUCCCUGUGGGACCACCUGUGGCGAAGGCGUCUUACCAGAACGGGUUCGACGGUGAGGGACGAAAGCUGGGGGCACGAACCGGAUUAGAUACCCGGGUAGUCCCAGCCGUAAACGAUGCUCGCUAGGUGUCAGGCAUGGCGCGACCGUGUCUGGUGCCGCAGGGAAGCCGUGAAGCGAGCCACCUGGGAAGUACGGCCGCAAGGCUGAAACUUAAAGGAAUUGGCGGGGGAGCAC